This 535-nucleotide ribosomal RNA is filed under the name bacterium enrichment culture clone OZDCA240. Its description in RNAcentral is "bacterial SSU rRNA". It matches the Rfam family "Bacterial small subunit ribosomal RNA", at positions 9 to 511 of the family's 1533-position model. The record is from RNAcentral.
GAGUUUGAUCAUGGCUCAGGACGAACGCUGGCGGCGUGCCUAACACAUGCAAGUCGAACGGAAUUAAGUUUAACACCGAGCGUUUCGUUUGGUGGAGACGCCUUACCGAACGGUGGGUGUUGAACUUAAUUUAGUGGCGGACGGGUGAGUAACGCGUGAGUAACCUGCCUUUCAGAGGGGGAUAACGUCUGGAAACGGACGCUAAUACCGCAUGACAUAUCUUGGUCGCAUGGCCGGGAUAUCAAAGGAGCAAUCCGCUGAAAGAUGGACUCGCGUCCGAUUAGCUAGUUGGUGAGAUAAAGGCCCACCAAGGCGACGAUCGGUAGCCGGACUGAGAGGUUGAACGGCCACAUUGGGACUGAGACACGGCCCAGACUCCUACGGGAGGCAGCAGUGGGGGAUAUUGCACAAUGGAGGAAACUCUGAUGCAGCAACGCCGCGUGAGGGAAGACGGUUUUCGGAUUGUAAACCUCUGUCCUUGGUGACGAAACAAUGACGGUAGCCAAGGAGGAAGCUCCGGCUAACUACGUGCCAG